UCGGGAAUUUUGGGCAAUGGGGGAAACCCUGACCCAGCAACGCCGCGUGAAGGAUGAAGUAUUUCGGUAUGUAAACUUCGAAAGAAUAGGAAGAAUAAAUGACGGUACUAUUUAUAAGGUCCGGCUAACUACGUGCCAGCAGCCGCGGUAAUACGUAGGGACCAAGCGUUGUUCGGAUUUACUGGGCGUAAAGGGCGCGUAGGCGGCAUGACAAGUCACUUGUGAAAUCUCUGGGCUUAACCCCAGAACGGCCAAGUGAUACUGUCGCGCUAGAGUGCAGAAGGGGCAAUCGGAAUUCUUGGUGUAGCGGUGAAAUGCGUAGAUAUCAAGAGGAACACCUGAGGUGAAGACGGGUUGCUGGGCUGACACUGACGCUGAGGCGCGAAAGCCAGGGGAGCAAACGGGGAUUAGAUACCCAAGUAGUCCCUGAGCGGGCUGGCAAGGCGCAU
Molecule: ribosomal RNA, 449 nt
Filed under: uncultured bacterium
Lineage: Bacteria
Description: bacterial SSU rRNA
Rfam family: Bacterial small subunit ribosomal RNA
Source: RNAcentral